UGUUGUACAUGUAACUGACCAAAAUAAAAACAAAAACACAUUGCAUGACUUUAAAGCUAUGUGCAAAAUAUUAAAAAGCUAGAAAAUCCCAGAGGAAAUUGUUAUGAAUGAACAUUGGCAGACACGUGAACAGAUGUUAACCUGUAUGUUGGCAAAUUAGAUAAUGUUAUUGAACUCUACUGUUCUUGUACUGACAAUAUACUUUAGUGUUGAUGUUAGGGUAAGGCUUAUAGUUAGCGAUCAAGCUUAGCUGUUAGGGAUAGCAGUCAGGCUUAGCUGUUAGGGAUAGCAGUCAGGCUUAGCUGUUAGGGAUAGCUGUUAGGCUUAGCUGUUAGGGAUAGCUGUUAGGUUUAGCUGUUAUGGAUAGUGGUCAGGCUUAGCUGUUAGAGAUAACAGUCAGGCUUAGCUGUUAAGGAUAGUGGUCAGGCUUAGCUGUUAGGGAUAACAGUCAGGCUUAGCUGUUAGGGAUAGCGGUCAGGUUUAGCUGUUAGAGAUAACAGUCAGGCUUAGCUGUUAGGGAUAGCGGUCAGGCUAAGCUGUUAGGGAUAGCGGUCAGGCUUAGCUGUUAGCAAUAGCAGUCAGGCUUAGCUGUUAGAGAUAGUGGUCAGGCUUAGCUGUUUGGGAUAGUAGACAGAAUUAUCGGUUUGGGUUAGGGUUAACUCUGUUUAUAAUUUAAAUUUGCUUGUACUUAUUAUCAUACGAAAUAAACAGGAUGAAAUCUGUUUUCCAGGUUUUCUUGAUACAACUCAAAAACUAUCAUCCCGGGACUUCUAACUAUUACAAUUGGAAAACAAACACUGUCUAUUUUCAAAUUAAAAUAUGGUCAUUCAAAUAGGUAAAGUUUUUGACACAUGACAAACUUCAGAUUAAG
This 871-nucleotide long non-coding RNA is filed under the name Mytilus galloprovincialis (Mediterranean mussel). The record is from RNAcentral. Lineage: Eukaryota; Metazoa; Mollusca; Bivalvia; Mytilida; Mytilidae.